Molecule: ribosomal RNA, 248 nt
Filed under: uncultured Lachnospiraceae bacterium
Lineage: Bacteria; Bacillati; Bacillota; Clostridia; Lachnospirales; Lachnospiraceae
Description: partial 16S ribosomal RNA
Rfam family: Bacterial small subunit ribosomal RNA
Source: RNAcentral
UACGUAGGUGGCAAGCGUUAUCCGGAUUUAUUGGGUGUAAAGGGAGCGUAGACGGCAGGGCAAGCCUGGAGUGAAAGGCGGGGGCCCAACCCCCGGACUGCUCUGGGAACUGUGUAACUGGAGUGCAGGAGAGGUAAGCGGAAUUCCUAGUGUAGCGGUGAAAUGCGUAGAUAUUAGGAGGAACACCAGUGGCGAAGGCGGCUUACUGGACUGUAACUGACGUUGAGGCUCGAAAGCGUGGGGAGCAA